GGACGAACGCUGGCGGCGUGCUUAACACAUGCAAGUCGAACGGGAUUUAGUAGACAGAAGCUUCGGUGGAAGAUUACUAAUGAGAGUGGCGAACGGGUGAGUAACGCGUGAGCAACCUGCCUAUGACAGUGGGAUAGCCUCGGGAAACCGGGAUUAAUACCGCAUAAAAUCGUAGAAACACAUGUUUUAGCGGUCAAAGAUUUAUCGGUCAUAGAUGGGCUCGCGUCUGAUUAGCUAGUUGGUGAGAUAACAGCCCACCAAGGCGACGAUCAGUAGCCGGUCUGAGAGGAUGAACGGCCACAUUGGAACUGAGACACGGUCCAAACUCCUACGGGAGGCAGCAGUGGGGAAUAUUGCACAAUGGGGGAAACCCUGAUGCAGCGACGCCGCGUGAACGAAGAAGGUAUUCGUAUCGUAAAGUUCUGUCCUAUGGGAAGAUAAUGACAGUACCAUAGAAGAAAGCUCCGGCUAAAUACGUGCCAGCAGCCGCGGUAAUACGUAUGGAGCGAGCGUUGUCCGGAAUUAUUGGGCGUAAAGG
RNAcentral lists this ribosomal RNA (538 nucleotides) under uncultured Eubacteriales bacterium. Its description in RNAcentral is "bacterial SSU rRNA". It matches the Rfam family "Bacterial small subunit ribosomal RNA", at positions 27 to 566 of the family's 1533-position model. Lineage: Bacteria; Bacillati; Bacillota; Clostridia; Eubacteriales. The record is from RNAcentral.